UGCUCGAGUGGCGAACGGGUGAGUAACACGUGAGUAACCUGCCCUUGACUUUGGGAUAACUUCAGGAAACUGGGGCUAAUACCGGAUAGGAGCUCCUGCUGCAUGGUGGGGGUUGGAAAGUUUCGGCGGUUGGGGAUGGACUCGCGGCUUAUCAGCUUGUUGGUGGGGUAGUGGCUUACCAAGGCUUUGACAGGUAGCCGGCCUGAGAGGGUGACCGGCCACAUUGGGACUGAGACACGGCCCAG
RNAcentral lists this ribosomal RNA (245 nucleotides) under uncultured Actinomycetales bacterium. RNAcentral's name for it is "partial 16S ribosomal RNA". It matches the Rfam family "Bacterial small subunit ribosomal RNA", at positions 88 to 334 of the family's 1533-position model. The record is from RNAcentral. Lineage: Bacteria; Bacillati; Actinomycetota; Actinomycetes; Actinomycetales.